RNAcentral lists this ribosomal RNA (647 nucleotides) under Pentacentrus cf. biroi ICCM-2015. RNAcentral's name for it is "bacterial SSU rRNA". It matches the Rfam family "Eukaryotic small subunit ribosomal RNA", at positions 1144 to 1804 of the family's 1831-position model. The record is from RNAcentral. Lineage: Eukaryota; Metazoa; Arthropoda; Insecta; Orthoptera; Gryllidae.
UUAAAGGAAUUGACGGAAGGGCACUACAAGGAGUGGAGCCUGCGGCUUAAUUUGACUCAACACGGGAAACCUUUCCAGGCCAGGACACUGGAAGGAUUGACAGAUUGAGAGCUCUUUCUUGAUUCGGUGGGCGGUGGUGCAUGGCCGUUUUUAGUUCGUGGAUCGAUUUGUCUGGUUAAUUCCGUUAACGGACGAGACCUCGACCUGCUAACUAGUCGAUUCCGGCAUCCUUGGCGCAGCCGGCGAUUACCAAUCUUCUUAGAGGGACAGGCGGCGUCUAGCCGCACGAAAUGAGGCAAAAACAGGUCUGUAAUGCCCUUAGAUGUUCUGGGCAGCACGCGCGCUACACUGAAGGGCGCAACGUGUGUUUUCCUUGCCCGAGAGGGCCGGGUAACCCGUUCAACUUCCUUCGUGCUAGGGAUUGGGGCUUGCAAUUUUUCCCCACGAACGAGGAAUUCCUAGUAAGCGGGAGUCAUUAGCUCCCGUUGAUUAAGUCCCUGCCCUUUGUCCACACCGCCCGUCGCUACUACCGAUUGAAUGUUUUAGUGAGGUCUUCGGACCAGUGCUCGGCCCUUAAAAGGCCUUGCUACCGGAAAGAUGACCGAACUUGAACAUUUAGAGGAAGUAAAAGUCGUAACAAGGUUGCC